GACGAACGCUGGCGGCGUGCUUAACACAUGCAAGUCGAACGGAAAGGCCCUGCUUUUGUGGGGUGCUCGAGUGGCGAACGGGUGAGUAACACGUGAGUAACCUGCCCUUGACUUUGGGAUAACUUCAGGAAACUGGGGCUAAUACCGGAUAGGAGCUCCUGCUGCUUGGUGGGGGUUGGAAAGUUUCGGCGGUUGGGGAUGGACUCGCGGCUUAUCAGCUUGUUGGUGGGGUAGUGGCUUACCAAGGCUUUGACGGGUAGCCGGCCUGAGAGGGUGACCGGCCACCUUGGGCCUAAGAUACGGCCCAGACUCCUACGGGAGGCAGCAGUGAGGAAUAUUGCACAAUGGGCGGAAGCCUGAUGCAGCAACGCCGCGUGCGGGAUGACGGCCUUCGGGUUGUAAACCGCUUUCGCCUGUGACGAAGCGUGAGUGACGGUAAUGGGUAAAGAAGCACCGGCUAACUACGUG
RNAcentral lists this ribosomal RNA (468 nucleotides) under uncultured bacterium. RNAcentral describes it as "partial 16S ribosomal RNA". It matches the Rfam family "Bacterial small subunit ribosomal RNA", at positions 28 to 507 of the family's 1533-position model. The record is from RNAcentral.